GCCUUCAUGGUGUAGUGGUCAGCACGCUCGACGCGUAACCGAGAGGUCCGUGGUUCGAUUCCUGGCAAAGGCC
Molecule: transfer RNA, 73 nt
Filed under: Stegodyphus mimosarum
Lineage: Eukaryota; Metazoa; Arthropoda; Arachnida; Araneae; Eresidae
Rfam family: tRNA
About the family: Transfer RNA (tRNA) molecules are approximately 80 nucleotides in length. Their secondary structure includes four short double-helical elements and three loops (D, anti-codon, and T loops). Further hydrogen bonds mediate the characteristic L-shaped molecular structure. tRNAs have two regions of fundamental functional importance: the anti-codon, which is responsible for specific mRNA codon recognition, and the 3' end, to which the tRNAs corresponding amino acid is attached (by aminoacyl-tRNA synthetases). tRNAs cope with the degeneracy of the genetic code in two manners: having more than one tRNA (with a specific anti-codon) for a particular amino acid; and 'wobble' base-pairing, i.e. permitting non-standard base-pairing at the 3rd anti-codon position.
Source: Rfam by way of RNAcentral